Molecule: ribosomal RNA, 771 nt
Filed under: Erysiphe rayssiae
Lineage: Eukaryota; Fungi; Ascomycota; Leotiomycetes; Helotiales; Erysiphaceae
Description: eukaryotic LSU rRNA
Rfam family: Eukaryotic large subunit ribosomal RNA
Source: RNAcentral
UUGACCUCGAAUCAGGUAGGAAUACCCGCUGAACUUAAGCAUAUCAAUAAGCGGAGGAAAAGAAACCAACCGGGAUUACCUCAGUAACGGCGAGUGAAGCGGUAACAGCUCAAAUUUGAAAUCUGGCUCCUCUGGAGUCCGAGUUGUAAUUUGUAGAAGAUGCUUUGGGUUGUGGGUUCGGCCUAAGUUCCUUGGAACAGGACGUCAUAGAGGGUGAGAAUCCCGUAUGUGGCCGAGGCCCGCGCCUAUGUAAAGCUCUUUCAACGAGUCGAGUUGUUUGGGAAUGCAGCUCAAAAUGGGUGGUAAAUUUCAUCUAAAGCUAAAUAUGGGCCAGAGACCGAUAGCGCACAAGUAGAGUGAUCGAAAGAUGAAAAGCACUUUGGAAAGAGAGUUAAACAGUACGUGAAAUUGUUGAAAGGGAAGCGCUUGCACCCAGACUUGGGCGCUGCUGAUCACCUUGCGGUCUCCGCGAGUGCACUCGACAGCGCACAGGCCAGCAUCGGUUCGGGUGGCUGGAUAAAGGCCGUAGGAAUGUAGCUCCCUUCGGGGAGUGUUAUAGCCUACGGUGCCAUGCAGCCCAGCCGGACCGAGGACCGCGCCUUCGGGCUAGGAUGCUGGCGUAAUGGGUGUAAGCGACCCGUCUUGAAACACGGACCAAGGAGUCUAACAUCUAUGCGAGUGUUUGGGUGGUAAACCCAUACGCGGAAUGAAAGUGAACGUAGGUGAGAACCCCUUUGGGGCGCAUCAUCGACCGAUCCUGAUGUCUUCGGA